RNAcentral lists this ribosomal RNA (761 nucleotides) under Gyalectaceae sp. Its description in RNAcentral is "SSU rRNA". It matches the Rfam family "Bacterial small subunit ribosomal RNA", at positions 399 to 1210 of the family's 1533-position model. Lineage: Eukaryota; Fungi; Ascomycota; Lecanoromycetes; Ostropales; Gyalectaceae. The record is from RNAcentral.
UAGCGAAAGCUUAUUGUAUUAAUACAAUAUUAACUCUGUUAAAUAAAAUUCUAGGUAUAUUUAUGAUUAUGACAUUGUAUGCUUAUAAGUCUUGACUAAGUCACGUGCCAGCAGUCUCGGUAAUACGUGGAAGACAAGUGUUAUUCAUCUUUAUUAGGUUUAAAGGGUACUUAGACAGCUAAUUCAGCUUAUUAACAAUAAGGACUAAUUAUGCUAGAGUUUUUAUAUGAGGAAAGUAGUACGGUGAGCGUAGAGAUGAAAUUCUUUGAUCCAACUUGGAGACUGAUAAAGGCGAAGGCGGCUUCUUAUGUAAAACUGACGUUGAGGGACGAAGGCUCGAGUCGAAAUAACAGGAUUAGUUACCCCAGCAUUCUGAGCAGACAAUGAUGAAUGUCAUAUAUAAGACAAAAUAAUUUCCAUAAUAGUCAAAAUGUUUUCUAUAUAAAUGAAAGUGUAAGCAUUCCACCUCAAGAGUAAUAUGGCCUCAUAUAAACUGAAAUCAUUAGACCGUUUCUGAAACCAGUAGUGAAGUAUGUUGUUUAAUUUGAUAAUCCACGGAAAACCUUACCACAAUUUGUAUAUUUAUAAUAUUUUUAUAAAUACAAGCGUUGCACGGCUGUCUUCAGUUGAUGUCGUGAGAUUUUGGUUAGCUCCAUUAAAUCAACGUAAACCCUUGCUUUAUUUAAUUAUAUAAAGCAGUUCGCCGCUAUAUUGGUUGUGAUAUAUGGGAUUAAGACAAGUCAUCAUGACCUUAAUAUUGU